AGAAAGACAUGAGGCGGAUGAGGGUUUCAGUAGCCAAAUCAAGGCUGCCUCUUGUGGACAAAACAGUACACACACCCUCCCCUGGACCUCCUUAGGAGCCAUGAUCCUUUUUGAACACUAAGAAUGGAGCAGAAGAGAUGUCAGCAUCCUGAAUAUCUUCUAAAUCUCAUGAUCCUUUCUGUGCUUUUGCUUUGAACUUGCACAGAGGUCUUCAGUGCUGGAUAUGAACAUGAAGCGCAGGGAAAAGAAGCAACCGGAAUCACAACAAAAGUGAAAGUGAAGCUUUUCAGAG
Molecule: long non-coding RNA, 292 nt
Organism: Alosa sapidissima (American shad)
Lineage: Eukaryota; Metazoa; Chordata; Actinopteri; Clupeiformes; Clupeidae
Exons: 3
Source: RefSeq, a predicted model, not a curated record